AUUGAACGCUGGCGGCGUGCCUUACACAUGCAAGUCGAACGGCAGCACGGGUGCUUGCACCUGGUGGCGAGUGGCGAACGGGUGAGUAAUACAUCGGAACGUACCUUAUCGUGGGGGAUAACGCAGCGAAAGCUGUGCUAAUACCGCAUACGCCCUGAGGGGGAAAGCGGGGGAUCGCAAGACCUCGCGCGAUUAGAGCGGCCGAUGCCUGAUUAGCUUGUCGGUGGGGUAAAAGCCCACCAAGGGGACGAUCAGUAGCUGGUCUGAGAGGACGAUCAGCCACACUGGGACUGAGACACGGCCCAGACUCCUACGGGAGGCAGCAGUGGGGAAUUUUGGACAAUGGGGGCAACCCUGAUCCAGCAAUGCCGCGUGAGUGAAGAAGGCCUUCGGGUUGUAAAGCUCUUUUGUCAGGGAAGAAACACCGGCUCUAACACAGUCCGGGAAUGACGGUACCUGAAGAAUAAGCACCGGCUAACUACGUGCCAGCCGCCGCGGUAA
This 501-nucleotide ribosomal RNA is filed under the name uncultured bacterium. RNAcentral's name for it is "partial 16S ribosomal RNA". It matches the Rfam family "Bacterial small subunit ribosomal RNA", at positions 29 to 523 of the family's 1533-position model. The record is from RNAcentral.